RNAcentral lists this ribosomal RNA (468 nucleotides) under uncultured bacterium. Its description in RNAcentral is "partial 16S ribosomal RNA". It matches the Rfam family "Bacterial small subunit ribosomal RNA", at positions 28 to 507 of the family's 1533-position model. The record is from RNAcentral.
GACGAACGCUGGCGGCGUGCUUAACACAUGCAAGUCGAACGGAAAGGCCCUGCUUUUGUGGGGUGCUCGAGUGGCGAACGGGUGAGUAACACGUGAGUAACCUGCCCUUGACUUUGGGAUAACUUCAGGGAACUGGGGCUAAUACCGGAUAGGAGCUCCUGCUGCAUGGUGGGGGUUGGAAAGUUUCGGCGGUUGGGGAUGGACUCGCGGCUUAUCAGCUUGUUGGUGGGGUAGUGGCUUACCAAGGCUUUGACGGGUAGCCGGCCUGAGAGGGUGACCGGCCACAUUGGGACUGAGAUACGGCGCAGAAGCGUACGGGAGGCAGCAGUGGGGAAUAUUGCACAAUGGGCGGAAGCGUGAUGCAGCAACGCCGCGUGCGGGAUGACGGCCUUCGGGUUGUAAACCGCUUUCGCCUGUGACGAAGCGUGAGUGACGGUAAUGGGUAAAGAAGCACCGGCUAACUACGUG